UCACCUCCCCGUGUCAUCGUACCUUGUUGUUCGGCGGGCCCGCCGUUUCGACGGCCGCCGGGGAGGCCUGCGCUUCGGGCUCGCGCUCGCCGAAGACCCCAACAUGAACGCUGUUCUGAAAGUAUGCAGUCUGAGUUGAUUAUCGUAAUCAGUUAAAACUUUCAACAACGGAUCUCUUGGUUCCGGCAUCGAUGAAGAACGCAGCGAAAUGCGAUAAGUAAUGUGAAUUGCAGAAUUCAGUGAAUCAUCGAGUCUUUGAACGCACAUUGCGCCCCCUGGUAUUCCGGGGGGCAUGCCUGUCCGAGCGUCAUUGCUGCCCUCAAGCACGGCUUGUGUGUUGGGCCCCCGUCCCCCUCUCCCGGGGGACGGGCCCGAAAGGCAGCGGCGGCACCGCGUCCGGUCCUCGAGCGUAUGGGGCUUUGUCACCUGCUCUGUAGGCCCGGCCGGCGCCAGCCGACACCCAACUUUAUUUUUCUAAGGUUGACCUCGGAUCAGGUAGGGAUACCCGCUGAACUUAAGCAUA
This 523-nucleotide ribosomal RNA is filed under the name Aspergillus fumigatus. RNAcentral's name for it is "eukaryotic LSU rRNA". The stretch from base 157 to 310 matches the Rfam family "5.8S ribosomal RNA". The record is from RNAcentral. Lineage: Eukaryota; Fungi; Ascomycota; Eurotiomycetes; Eurotiales; Aspergillaceae.